GCCCUCAGCAGUGAGAUGCCGAAAAGAACAGAGGCUUGGCAUAAAUAAGCCAGCUUGCUGGGGUCAGUGGAAGAAGCCUUGCUGUCCCCAGGAAGCGGCUCCUACGCAAUGGAUACAGAGGCUCGGCCAGAGACAGAGCCGACAGGCAGAAGGAAGGAAGAGCCUUCCAGACCCACGGAGCUGGAGAGACUGCCGUGUGAGCCAAGAGGAUCUAUGCACUGGGUAGCAGCAGGCUCUGGCUGACUGAAUGGCAGUGUAUAUACAGCCAGCCUCCAUCAGCCCUUUGGGGAACCAUGAGUCACGGCAUAUGUAGCCUCAGGCGUGUGGAUUCUGCCAGUCCACAUGCCAUGCUUUCUUCACAGCACUGGGAGCGUUAAGUACAGGGAAGGCAUUGGGCACAGGGCAGCAUGCAAGGGGCAGGGCAGGCAAAGCAGACUGCUCCUGGCUGGACACUAUAACCUGGCAGUGGGGAGGACUGGAGAAGUGGCCCCAAGCAAGCCCCUGAAGCCAUAAAGUCCUAAGGCCAUUUUAUUUAAUGAGCAGACUUGACUAAAAUAAUGGAAAGCUCACACCUGUAAUCCCAGCACUGAAGAUGCAGAGAGAGUUGGGUUGCUGAGUUCAAGGCUUGUCUAGGUUGACCAAAGCAAAGCAAAGCAAAGCACAGCAAACAAUCCAUUAUCUCCCUCCCGAAUGAAUCGUCACAGCAGCCCAGCCCCUACUGAAGGCUCCUGUCCCCCGUCCACAGGCCUGCUCUCUGCUACCCCUAACCUAGAAAGCACACCAUAUGCAAAGCUCAGACUUCGGCCUGAGAAAUGUCCUUGCACUUUUACCUUCCUGACAGGUGAGGAUCUUCCACAACACCUUCUGUGCUCUCAACAUGCCUGGCCACCACAGGUGCUGCAUACAGCCGUCGCCUGCCACUGUUCUUCAGUGUGGAGCAGGGUUUACUGGCUACCUUCAGCUGCUAUGUAAUAGAGAACCCAGGUGCCAAACAUGUUUAGCACUAGCUAGUUCCAAUGUCUGGGCUCCCUGAAAACAUGAGAAAGAGGCAGAAGGUAGCUAAAAAGGGGUCUAAGAAAGAAAGGCUGAUUGAUGUGAGACUGGGAGAAGGCAGGGAGGGGCACUAAAGGUCACUUCUUGCUCUACACCUUUUCUGCCUGUCUAAGACAGGGUCUUGCCUUUUUAGCCCAGAACUUCUGAACUUACGGACCUUCCCGCCUCAGUCUCUGGAGUGCUAGAAAUCUAGGCCUGUACCACCGUAUCAUAUCCUGCAGCUUCUCUCAGGAUUCAACCUAAUGCUUUUAAAUCCUGAGACAAAGCCGGGGUGGGGAGCAGGACACGAUUAAGCUGGGUGUGGUGGCACUUGUCAGAAGUCCUACCUACACUAAUAGGCUAGUCACUUUAGCGCAGGUGUAAGGCCAGUCUGGGUAACUAGCAAAACCCUGCCUCAAGGCAAACCUACACAGAUAAAGAACAAAGCCGUAAGUAGCAAAAGACAGUUACUGGACAGCUAGCUCACUUACUUAUUCCAUAAAUAAUUCACUGAAGAUUUAUUCUGUCACAGACAACAGGCCAAGCAGCCAGGCUAAAAUUAAAAAAAAAAAUUGAUAGUGGGGAACCAUUUAGGUUUUAUGGUAAGGCCUUCUACUAAUGAUCUCAUUUAGUUCUCACAAUAGCCAGCAAAGUGUUCUGAACCACCAGGCCACACUACUGCUUCACUGUGGUGUCACCCCGGGAGCCCUCCUGGGAGCCUGAGAACAGCCACCAAAAGGGGCUCUGUGUGGCGGCACACACCUGUAAUCACUGCACUUGGGAGGUGGAGGCAAGAGGAUCGAUCAGAAGUUCAAGGCCAACCUGAGCUGCACGAGGUCUUGUCUCAAUCCUCUCCCCACCCACCCGCAAAGGCUCCCCAAGAGGCAUGAAUGGGACGUGUGGAGGACAGCCCUGUGACUUAGUGACGCCACAAAAAGUCAGUACUGUGUGAACAUUGCCACUGUGCUCUGUAGCCGGCUCCCACACAGGAGCGCUCUGGAGAAAUCCCAUGAGCAGUACAUUUCCUCCAGUUGUGUCCUGUGGACCAGGCCGGGGCCCUUGCUCAGGCUCGAGGCCCAGCCAGGGAUGGAGACACUGCACUUAGCUGGAAAAUGAGCGGAAGUUGGUGGGGCCACAAUGGAUGCACUGCAGUUGCCCUGACUCCAGAAGCUCAGACAGGAAGGCUCGGCUCACCAACCAGAGCCAGAGGUGGCUCCUACAGGAAGGGUUAAAUAGGAGUCUGCCAAUAGAAAAGGCAGGGAGGGGAAGGAAAUGGCUUCUUUCUCUCCUGAAAACCUGAUUAAAACAAAGCUGUAUGGC
Molecule: long non-coding RNA, 2352 nt
Filed under: Mus musculus (house mouse)
Lineage: Eukaryota; Metazoa; Chordata; Mammalia; Rodentia; Muridae
Description: SAP30 binding protein, opposite strand
Source: RNAcentral